This 77-nucleotide transfer RNA is filed under the name Propionibacteriaceae bacterium. Its description in RNAcentral is "tRNA-Arg". It matches the Rfam family "tRNA". Rfam says of the family: Transfer RNA (tRNA) molecules are approximately 80 nucleotides in length. Their secondary structure includes four short double-helical elements and three loops (D, anti-codon, and T loops). The record is from RNAcentral. Lineage: Bacteria; Bacillati; Actinomycetota; Actinomycetes; Propionibacteriales; Propionibacteriaceae.
GCCCCAUUAGCUCAGUUGGAUAGAGCAGUAGACUUCUAAUCUAUUGGUCAGAGGUUCGAAUCCUCUAUGGGGCGCCA